RNAcentral lists this ribosomal RNA (2772 nucleotides) under Santalum album (white sandalwood). RNAcentral describes it as "eukaryotic LSU rRNA". It matches the Rfam family "Eukaryotic large subunit ribosomal RNA", at positions 439 to 3287 of the family's 3401-position model. The record is from RNAcentral. Lineage: Eukaryota; Viridiplantae; Streptophyta; Magnoliopsida; Santalales; Santalaceae.
UUUUAUUCCAUAAUCUUGUUUAUGUUCGGUCGGUGAGACUCUUGUAAUAAGUUUGUCAAACCUAGUGAAGGGGAGACAACUUAGUGAUUAGUCGUGAGACUUGUGAUAAGUUCGUCAAACCUAGUGAAGGGGAGACGACUUAGUAAUUGGUCGAUGAGACGUUGUAUCGCUUCUAGUGAAGAGCCAAUACUGAUUAUAGUGAAUUCGUUGGUGAGGGUAGUGAACCCGAAUGGGGGCGUAGGUUGCGAUUGUGUGUGAACCACAUAUAUCUUGUGUUUGAUUGCUUGGUUGGUUUGAGUUAUUCUUGCCAUAACCAUCGAAUCAGAUUGAAGAGCAAAAGGAAAGAAUUUGAAGGAGCACGAUUCACCCCCUCUCGGUGCUGUAUUGGGACUAACAUAAGGCAAUUGACUUUAGGGAUCCCCAGUGGGUUGUACCGACCAACCUUGAUCUUUGAAAGGGAUUGAGUUUGAGCAUGCCUAUUGGGACCCAAAAGAUAGUGAACUAUGCUUGAGCAAGGAAGCCGAGGAAACUCUAGCGGUGGCCCAGAAUCUUGACGCAAAUCGUUAGUCCGGCUUGGUAUAGGGCGAAAGACUAAUCGAACCAUCUAGUAUGGUUCUUUCCCUUAGGAUAGGCGAGUUCUAUCAAGUAAAGCCAAUGAUUAGAGGCAUUGUGGUGCCUCGACUUAUUCUCAAACUCUAAAUAGGUAGGAUGGCGAUUUGUUGAGCCACGCCCAAAUCAAGAGCUCCAAGUGGCCAUUUUUUGUAAACAGAACGGUGAUGUGGGAUGAAUCAAGUCGGGUUACGGUGCCUAACUAUGUGUUAACCUAGAACCCAAAAGGGUAUUGGUCGAUUAAGACAAUCGGACGGGGUCAUGGAAGUCGAAAUCGCUAAGAGUGUGUAAUAACUCACCUGCGAAUUAACUAGCCCCAAGAAUGGAGUAAGCUCGUGACCUACACCCAACCAUCAUCGUGAAUGCUAGGCCUCGAUGAGUAAGAGGCACGGUCGCUGCGAAACGGGGCGUGAGCGGGCAUAGCAUCCGUUGGUGCGGAUCUUGGUGGUAGUAGCAAAUAUUUAAAUGAUAACUUUGAAGGUUAAAGAGGAAAGGUUCCAUGUGAACACUUUCACAUGGGUUAGUCGAUCCUAAGAGAUGGGGAAACCGUCCGAUAGCAUGCACCAUGCGAGCUUCAAAAGCGAAUCAAGUUAAAAUUCUUGAAUCGAGGAUGUGGCGGUUGAUGAAAGCGUUAGGGAGUCCAAGAGCGUUGUCGAGGGCCUUGGGAAGAGUGAUCUUUUUUGUUUAACAGGUUGGCCAUAUUGGUAAUAGUUUAGCGGAGGUUGGUCUAGCGGCUGGAAUAGCACCACACGCCGUGGUGUUUGGCGUGCCCUCUACGCCUUGAAAAUCGGAGGACCGAGUGCCUCCACGCGUUUAUAACCGCAUCAGGUCUCGGGUGAGCAACUUCUAGUCAAUGAAAUAAUGUAGGCAAGGGAAGUUGGCAAAAUGGAUCCGUAACUCGGGAAAAAGAUUGGCUUUGAGGGUUGGCCCAAGGGUCCCUAUCCGAACCCAUCGGUUGGUGGACGCUGCUCCGCUGAGAGUGGUUCGCCACGUCCCGAGGAUGGUGGAACAACUCUUUGGAGGCCUUCCCGCCUAACAAUGGCUCGAAUUGGUAUGGACAAGGGAAUCCACUGUUUAAUUAAAACAAAGCAUUGCGAUAGUCCCAGAUGCUAAUGCAAUGUGAUUUUACCCGUCUCAGAAUGUCAAAGUGAAGAAAUUCAACUAAGCGAGUAAACGGCAAGAGUAACUAUGACUCUCUUAAGGCCAAAUGUCUUGUCAUCUAAUUAGUGAUGCGAUGAAUGGAUUAACGAGAUUCUCACUAUCCUUAUCUACUAUCCGGUGAAACCAUAGUUCUUGGAACGGGCUUGGCAAUCAGCGGGAAAAAAGACCCGUUGAGCUUGACUUUAGUCGACUUUGUGAAAUGAUUUGAGAGGUGUAGGAUAAGUGGAGGAGCUGGAGAUGGCAAAAGUGAAAUACCACUACUUUAACGUUAUUUUACCUAUUACGUGAAUUGGAAGCGGGGCUCUCACCCCUUUUGUUAGAACCAAGACAUGCGCGUCUACUUGGGAAGACAUUGUCAAGUGGGGAGUUUGGUUGGGGUGGUACAUCGUUAAAAGAUAACGCAGGUGUCCUAAGAUGAGCUCAACGAGAAAUCUCGUUUGGAAAAAAAAGGGUAAAAGCUUCGUUUGAUUUUAAUUUUUAGUACGAAUACAAACCGCAAAGCAUGGCCUAUCGAUCCUUUAGAACUUCAAAAUUUGAAGUUAGAGGUGUCAUAAAAGUUACCGCAGGAUAAGCUUGUGGCACAUUCAGUUUGCUUUUGAUCCUUUGAUGUCGGCUCUUCCUAUUAUUAUGAAGUAGAAUUUACCAAGUGUUGGAUUGUUUACCCACCAAUAGGGAACUUAAGGGGGUUUAGAUCGUCGUGAGACAGUUAGUUUUACCCUCGAUAAUAGCGUCGCCAUAGUAAUUCAACUUAGUAUGAGAGGAACCGUUGAUUUGCACAAUUGGUCAUCACACUGGUUGAAAAGCUAGUGGCACAAAACCACCAUCGUUAGAUUAUAACUCAAUGAGUGUGCACUAAUUUGUUAACAAACAAAUGUCCUCAAACGAGGGUUUUGGAUUUUGAUGAAAAUUUGGAUUUCAAAUUCCCAUGAUCCAAAAAUGAAUGGUAGUUAAUUACAUCGAGUCACUAAAGUGGCGAAGACCUAUGAUUAUUGAUCGAGCAAA